AUGUAUGAGGAUGUGGUUCAAUGGCGUUUUACGGGGUUUUAUGGUCACCCGAAUUGGAAUGAACGCCAUCUAUCUUGGAAUGAUAUUCGCAAUCUACAUAGCAAGGGUAACCACCCCUGUUUGGUUUUGGGGGAUGUUAAUGAAAUUUUGUAUCCUUCGGAAAAGGAGGGCGGUAUGGCAAGACCACUUGGUAUGAUGAGAGAAUUCCAUGAAUGUCUAAUGGAUUGUGGUCUCGAUGAUUUAGGCUAUACAGGUGACAUUUUCACUUCGAGUAGAGGCCGUGAGCGUCUUGAUCGGGCGGUCUGUAAAUUAGCGUGGGCAAAUAAAUUCCCACAAGCAGGAGUGAUCAAUGAAGAACAUGUUUAUUCUGACCAUCGUCCAAUCGUACUAGAUAUGGAAUUUUUGGAUGGAAAAAUCUUCAAACGACCAGAGGGGCGUGUUAAACAAUUUGAGGUGAGGUGGUUAAAAGAAGAGACGGUCACUGAAAUUGUUAAGGCAUCUUGGGAGAAAGCAAAGCUUGCGGGGAUUGGACCUUCACUUGUUGAUCGUACGAGAGCAGUGCAUGCUGAUCUGCAUACUUGGGAUCGGGAAACUUUAAAAGGAUCGAAGGUGAGAAUUAGGAAAUUGAAAAAAGAAUUGGAGAAACUAAGACGUGGCCCUCUGGAUACGGAAUCUUGA
Molecule: ribosomal RNA, 678 nt
Filed under: Triticum aestivum (bread wheat)
Lineage: Eukaryota; Viridiplantae; Streptophyta; Magnoliopsida; Poales; Poaceae
Description: partial small subunit ribosomal RNA
Source: RNAcentral